This is a long non-coding RNA of Microtus ochrogaster (prairie vole), 669 nucleotides long. RefSeq lists it as uncharacterized. The record is from RefSeq and is a predicted model, not a curated record. Lineage: Eukaryota; Metazoa; Chordata; Mammalia; Rodentia; Cricetidae.
CUGCGAAAUGAUAUUUAAGUGUCGUCCGUUGUCCUUUUCGGUCUCAUUUUUCCGUGCGCCAGAUUUGGGAUGAUUGCAUACGGAAACAUGGAAGCACGCGUCCUUUUUAAGAAAAUGGUUGAUGAAAGCGGAGUUUACACUUUGGAAGCAGGCUAGAUGGACCUUGCAACUAAGACGUUUUGCUGGCAGUUGAGCAUCGGGUAGCAAUAUUCUGAGGAAUGCAGAUGACCUCCCAGGAUGAAUACAGGUUGUCCUGAUGGCUUGUGGAAAGGAGAAGAUAAUUCCUGUCUGCCACCAAUCACCAGCAUUCAGAGGUUCUGUUAGCAGUGGCAUCCUUGCUGGUUCAGAGAUCUGGUGUCUGCCCUAGAGCGGAGGAACCAACUUUGCCAGGAAAGUUGAGCACAUCUUUACUCUGCUGGAAUGAGGUCUGAAGAAAGAAGGAGGAGCUUGUGAAUGGUAAGUAUGGUAUUGAAUAUGGGCAGGUUGGAGUUUUGGUUAGGCAAGGGGUAUCUGGAAGGCAGAGGAUUGUCCAUGUGGGUGCAUUUGGCAUGCUACAUUAACUUAAUUAAAACUUACAGGAAUGCAGAUCUCCAAGAACAAAGAUCUCUAUUUCCUCGAUAAUUUGGAGUUGUGUGUCAUCAUUCUCUUAAUAAAAUUAUUUCUUUGCAA